RNAcentral lists this long non-coding RNA (218 nucleotides) under Mytilus galloprovincialis (Mediterranean mussel). Lineage: Eukaryota; Metazoa; Mollusca; Bivalvia; Mytilida; Mytilidae. The record is from RNAcentral.
GGUUUCUCAAAGCUGUGUGCUACUAUAUAAAUUUAUAAUUUGAAUCUUAAAAAAAAAGUGUACAAAUGAAAUUUUUGUACUACAUUUAAAGUUUUGUCAUUAUAACCAGAUUAAUUUUUCCAUUUCUGUACCAUAUAUCAAGUUCUACCAGUAUCACCUAUGUAUGUUCAUUUCUUUUGUGUUUUUUUUUUCCAUUUUAUAAACAAGCAAGGGUAAAC